UUGGGUCGAGGCAGUUCUGAGCACAGUGCACUGGGCUGCCCCCACUGCCUUGCUCAGCUCGAGUCCUUGUGCCCCUC
Molecule: microRNA precursor, 77 nt
Filed under: Pongo abelii (Sumatran orangutan)
Lineage: Eukaryota; Metazoa; Chordata; Mammalia; Primates; Hominidae
Description: miRNA
Source: RNAcentral